UAGNGUAGCGGUGAAAUGCGUAGAAAUUAGGAAGAACACCAGUGGCGAAGGCGACUUUCUGGACGAAAACUGACGCUGAGGCGCGAAAGCCAGGGGAGCGAACGGGAUUAGAUACCCCGGUAGUCCUGGCCGUAAACGAUGGGUACUAGGUGUAGGAGGUAUCGACCCNUUCUGUGCCGGAGUUAACGCAAUAAGUACCCCGCCUGGGGAGUACGACCGCAAGGUUGAAACUCAAAGGAAUUGACGGGGGCCCGCACAAGCGGUGGAGUAUGUGGUUUAAUUCGACGCAACGCGAAGAACCUUACCAGGUCUUGACAUUGAUGGACAGAACCAGAGAUGGUUCCUCUUNUUCGGAAGCCAGAAAACAGGUGGUGCACGGUUGUCGUCAGCUCGUGUCGUGAGAUGUUGGGUUAAGUCNCGCAACGAGCGCAACCCCUAUCUUAUGUUGCCAGCACUUUGGGUGGGGACUCAUGAGAGACUGCCGCAGACAAUGCGGAGGAAGGCGGGGAUGACGUCAAAUCAUCAUGCCCCUUAUGACCUGGGCUACACACGUACUACAAUGGGAGUUAAUAGACGGAAGCGAGAUCGCGAGAUGGAGCAAACCCGAGAAACACUCUCUCAGUUCGGAUCGUAGGCUGCAACUCGCNUACGUGAAGUCGGAAUCGCUAGUAAUCGCAGGUCAGCAUACUGCGGUGAAUACGUUCCCGGGCCU
This 712-nucleotide ribosomal RNA is filed under the name uncultured bacterium. Its description in RNAcentral is "bacterial SSU rRNA". It matches the Rfam family "Bacterial small subunit ribosomal RNA", at positions 671 to 1381 of the family's 1533-position model. The record is from RNAcentral.